Molecule: ribosomal RNA, 497 nt
Filed under: uncultured bacterium
Lineage: Bacteria
Description: partial 16S ribosomal RNA
Rfam family: Bacterial small subunit ribosomal RNA
Source: RNAcentral
GAUGAACGCUGGCGGCGUGCCUAAUACAUGCAAGUCGAGCGAACAGACGAGGAGCUUGCUCCUCUGACGUUAGCGGCGGACGGGUGAGUAACACGUGGAUAACCUACCUAUAAGACUGGGAUAACUUCGGGAAACCGGAGCUAAUACCGGAUAAUAUAUUGAACCGCAUGGUUCAAUAGUGAAAGACGGUUUUGCUGUCACUUAUAGAUGGAUCCGCGCCGCAUUAGCUAGUUGGUAAGGUAACGGCUUACCCAGGCAACUAUGCGUAGCCGACCUGAGAGGGUGAUCGGCCACACGGGAACUGAGAAACGGCCCAGACUCCUACGGGAGGCAGCAGUAGGGAAUCUUCCGCAAUGGGCGAAAGCCUGACGGAGCAACGCCGCGUGAGUGAUGAAGGUCUUCGGAUCGUAAAACUCUGUUAUUAGGGAAGAACAAAUGUGUAAGUAACUAUGCACGUCUUGACGGUACCUAAUCAAAAAGCCACGGCUAACUACGUG